GGUGGCGUAGCUCAGUCGGUAGAGCAAGGGACUCAUAAGCCCUGUGUCGUAGGUUCGAUUCCUACCGCCACUACCA
RNAcentral lists this transfer RNA (76 nucleotides) under Ktedonobacter sp. Its description in RNAcentral is "tRNA-Met". It matches the Rfam family "tRNA". Rfam says of the family: Transfer RNA (tRNA) molecules are approximately 80 nucleotides in length. Their secondary structure includes four short double-helical elements and three loops (D, anti-codon, and T loops). Lineage: Bacteria; Bacillati; Chloroflexota; Ktedonobacteria; Ktedonobacterales; Ktedonobacteraceae. The record is from RNAcentral.